Molecule: ribosomal RNA, 458 nt
Filed under: uncultured bacterium
Lineage: Bacteria
Description: partial 16S ribosomal RNA
Rfam family: Bacterial small subunit ribosomal RNA
Source: RNAcentral
CCUACGGGAGGCAGCAGUGAGGAAUAUUGGUCAAUGGGCGAGAGCCUGACCCAGCCAAGUCGCGUGAGGGAGUACUGCCCUAUGGGUGGUAAACCUCUUGUGUCGGGGAGCGAAAGCCGGACGUGUCCGGCUGUGAGAGUACCCUAAGAACAAGCAUCGGCUAACUCCGUGCCAGCAGCCGCGGUAAUACGCAGGAUGCGAGGGUUAUCAGGUUUGAUUGGGUUAAAAGGGUGCUCAGGCGGAUUUUUAAGUCAGCGGUAAAAUCGUGGGGCUCAACCCCAUCCAGCCGUUGAAACUGGGGAUCUAGAGUGUGCGAGAGGUAUGCGGAAUGCGUGGUGUAGCGGUGAAAUGCAUAGAUAUCACGCAGAACCCCGAUUGCGAAGGCAGCAUACCGGUGCACAACUGACGCUCAGGCACGAAAGCGUGGGUAUCGAACAGGAUUAGAUACCCCUGUAGUC